Molecule: ribosomal RNA, 168 nt
Filed under: Candidatus Bathyarchaeota archaeon
Lineage: Archaea; Thermoproteati; Candidatus Bathyarchaeota
Description: partial 16S ribosomal RNA
Rfam family: Archaeal small subunit ribosomal RNA
Source: RNAcentral
GGAGCGGGAGCCCGGAGAUGGGCACUGAGACAAGGGCCCAGGCCCUACGGGGCGCAGCAGUCGCGAAAACUUUGCAAUACACGAAAGUGUGACAGGGCUAUCCCGAGUGCCAUCCGCUGAGGAAGGCUUUUACCCAGUGUAGAUAGCUGGGAGAAUAAGGAGAGGGCA